Molecule: long non-coding RNA, 482 nt
Filed under: Sinocyclocheilus grahami
Lineage: Eukaryota; Metazoa; Chordata; Actinopteri; Cypriniformes; Cyprinidae
Description: lncRNA (ENSSGRG00000050128.1)
Source: RNAcentral
UUCACACUGAGACUGGCUCUAACACUUUGUCUCACUGAAUGCACAGCUGCCAAAAAGAUUCAUCUUUGUCUCCAGAUGCUAGACAAACACGCCAUUUGGAUUUGUUAAAACUCCUAGUUGAUUGCCUUUACCAAAGUAUAAAGGGAAGUUUCAUCAUGGAGAACAGCUUGAGCCAAGAAGCAGAGGAAAAUCCCUAUCUGUGUUUUCAGAGAACACCGUCUCUCAGACGUAAAUGGAGAAAGCGCUACGGAGGCCUGGACGGCAACAAACUGCUGGAGCCAAAUAAGGAGGAUGACAAAAGAGAGAAUGGAGAGAUGACAGAUGCCCUCACCAACAGGAACGCAGACCCUAUGAAGUUUACUGCGUCUAAGGCCCUGUGGAGCUCAGGAAUCAUCCGAACAGACCCGCGGAUUAAAGACUGCUGCGGAAAUUACAGGAAGCAGAUGGAACUGUUGACAGGAGCACUUUUCACAGGUGCGUGA